AGUGAACGCUGGCGGCAGGCCUAAUACAUGCAAGUCGAACGGCAGCACAGCAGAGCUUGCUCUGUGGGUGGCGAGUGGCGGACGGGUGAGGAAUACAUGGGAAUCUGCCCAGUCGUGGGGGAUAACGUAUGGAAACGUACGCUAAUACCGCAUGCGCCCUACGGGGGAAAGUCGGGGACCGCAAGGCCUGACGCGAUUGGAUGAGCCCAUGUUCGAUUAGCUAGUUGGCGGGGUAAAGGCCCACCAAGGCGACGAUCGAUAGCUGGUCUGAGAGGAUGAUCAGCCACACUGGAACUGAGACACGGUCCAGACUCCUACGGGGAGGCAGCAGUAGGGAAUAUUGGACAAUGGGGGCAACCCUGAUCCAGCCAUGCCGCGUGAGUGAAGAAGGCCCUCGGGUUGUAAAGCUCUUUUGUCCGGAAAGAAAAGCAAUCGGUUAAUACCCGGUUGUUCUGACG
RNAcentral lists this ribosomal RNA (458 nucleotides) under uncultured bacterium. Its description in RNAcentral is "bacterial SSU rRNA". It matches the Rfam family "Bacterial small subunit ribosomal RNA", at positions 29 to 474 of the family's 1533-position model. The record is from RNAcentral.